GAUUGAACGCUGGCGGCAGGCCUAACACAUGCAAGUCGAGCGGGGUUUUCGGACCUAGCGGCGGACGGGUGAGUAAUGCGUAGGAAGCUGCCCGAUAGAGGGGGAUACCGAGUUGGAAACGACUGUUAAUACCGCAUAAUGUCUACGGACCAAAGUGUGGGACCUUCGGGCCACAUGCUAUCGGAUGCGCCUACGUGGGA
This 200-nucleotide ribosomal RNA is filed under the name uncultured bacterium. RNAcentral describes it as "partial 16S ribosomal RNA". It matches the Rfam family "Bacterial small subunit ribosomal RNA", at positions 27 to 240 of the family's 1533-position model. The record is from RNAcentral.